UACGUAGGCGGCAAGCGUUAUCCGGAUUUAUUGGGCGUAAAGAGAACGCAGGCGGUCUUUUAAGUCUGAUGUGAAAGCCUUCGGCUUAACCGGAGUAGUGCAUUGGAAACUGGGAGACUUGAGUGCAGAAGAGGAGAGUGGAACUCCAUGUGUAGCGGUGAAAUGCGUAGAUAUAUGGAAGAACACCAGUGGCGAAAGCGGCUCUCUGGUCUGUAACUGACGCUGAGGUUCGAAAGCGUGGGUAGCAAACAGG
Molecule: ribosomal RNA, 253 nt
Filed under: uncultured bacterium
Lineage: Bacteria
Description: partial 16S ribosomal RNA
Rfam family: Bacterial small subunit ribosomal RNA
Source: RNAcentral